GACUGCUGUAAGGGAAGCCUUUUACCUGCAGAAGGGGGCAUACUGGAUCAUGUUGUGACCCUGGGUCUACUGGUGCAGGGUGCCAAGUGUGGUCUGGAGAAGUGCAGUGUCUCUUCAGCUCAGGCCGCUGUGUGGUCCUUGCUCGUAGCCGGCUGUAUUGACAUUUCAGCUUUGCUGGUGGGGUGGGGUGAAACUGAAGCAGAACCUUCGUGAGGGGUCCCAGGAAGCUGAGGACGCCGUCACUCACCCCACUCUUAAGGAAGGGAUAUUGUGUUUUCUUACAAAUUGAAAAUUUGUGGCAACCCUGUGUGGAGCAGGUCUGUCGGCACCAUUUUUCCAACAGCAUUAUUUUUAAUUAAGAAUAAUGACGAAGGAUCAAGGUAAAUGAAUGAAGAUACUGGCGUUCACUGGGAUAGAGGGUAGGAGUUUACCUCAGAAGAUGAACUUGGAAAAUCACUUCUAUGGUAUUCUUGCUAAAAUUGCUAAAAAUGCAUAGCCUGAAUUCAGUCAAGAUCAGACAAACCCAAAUUGAGGGACAUUCUUAAAAAAUACCUGGGCAGGUACUCUUCAAAUAUGUCAAGGUCAUGGAAGACAAAGACGUUGAAAGUCUGUUCCAUAUUAAGGGAGACAAAACAACUACAUGCAACAUGUGGACCUGGACUGGAUUCUGGACCAGAAAAAGAACAUUAGUCAGACAAUUGAUGAACUUAAGGACUGUGGAUCAGAUAACAGUAUUUUGCUAAUGUUAACUCUCUUGUUUUUAUCAUUUCUCUGUGGCAUGAAAAAUGAUAACAUUUGGGUAAACUAGGGGAUGGGUAUUCAGGAAUUCU
Molecule: long non-coding RNA, 830 nt
Organism: Lagenorhynchus albirostris (white-beaked dolphin)
Lineage: Eukaryota; Metazoa; Chordata; Mammalia; Artiodactyla; Delphinidae
Exons: 4
Source: RefSeq, a predicted model, not a curated record